Aedes albopictus (Asian tiger mosquito) is the source of this 58-nucleotide non-coding RNA. NCBI's taxonomy places the organism in Eukaryota, Metazoa, Arthropoda, Insecta, Diptera, Culicidae. The record is from Rfam.
UAGCCUAGUGGUUAAGGCAAUGGAUCGCUAACCCGAAGACGGCGGGUUCGACUCCCGU